ACUAACGCUUGCGGCGUGCUUAACACCUUCAAGUCGAACGGAAAGGCCCUGCUUUUGUGGGGUGCUCGAGUGGCGAACGGGUGAGUAACACGUGAGUAACCUGCCCUUGACUUUGGGAUAACUUCAGGAAACUGGGGCUAAUACCGGAUAGGAGCUCCUGCUGCAUGGUGGGGGUUGGAAAGUUUCGGCGGUUGGGGAUGGACUCGCGGCUUAUCAGCUUGUUUGUGGGGUAGUGGCUUGCCAAGGCUUUGACGGGUAGCCGGCCUGAGAGGGUGACCGGCCACAUUGGGACUGAGAUACGGACCAGAAUGCUACGGGAGGCAGCAGUGGGGAAUAUUGCACAAUGGGCGGACGCCUGAUGCAGCAACGCCGCGUGCGGGAUGACGGCCUUCGGGUUGUAAACCGCUUUCGCCUGUGACGAAGCGUGAGUGACGGUAAUGGGUAAAGAAGCACCGGCUAACUACGUG
RNAcentral lists this ribosomal RNA (467 nucleotides) under uncultured bacterium. Its description in RNAcentral is "partial 16S ribosomal RNA". It matches the Rfam family "Bacterial small subunit ribosomal RNA", at positions 29 to 507 of the family's 1533-position model. The record is from RNAcentral.